RNAcentral lists this ribosomal RNA (253 nucleotides) under uncultured bacterium. RNAcentral describes it as "partial 16S ribosomal RNA". It matches the Rfam family "Bacterial small subunit ribosomal RNA", at positions 524 to 776 of the family's 1533-position model. The record is from RNAcentral.
UACGGAGGGGGCUAUCGUUGUUCGGAAUUACUGGGCGUAAAGCGCGCGUAGGCGGACCUGCAAGUCGGGGGUGAAAGCCCGAGGCUUAACCUCGGAACUGCCUUCGAUACUGCGGGUCUCGAGUCCGGGAGAGGUGAGUGGAAUUCCUAGUGUAGAGGUGAAAUUCGUAGAUAUUAGGAAGAACACCAGUGGCGAAGGCGGCUCACUGGCCCGGUACUGACGCUGAGGCGCGAAAGCGUGGGGAGAAAACAGG